RNAcentral lists this ribosomal RNA (1499 nucleotides) under metagenome. RNAcentral describes it as "bacterial SSU rRNA". It matches the Rfam family "Bacterial small subunit ribosomal RNA". The record is from RNAcentral.
GCUCAGAUUGAACGCUGGCGGCAGGCCUAACACAUGCAAGUCGAACGGUAACAGGAAGAAGCUUGCUUCUUUGCUGACGAGUGGCGGACGGGUGAGUAAUGUCUGGGAAACUGCCUGAUGGAGGGGGAUAACUACUGGAAACGGUAGCUAAUACCGCAUAACGUCGCAAGACCAAAGAGGGGGACCUUCGGGCCUCUUGCCAUCGGAUGUGCCCAGAUGGGAUUAGCUAGUAGGUGGGGUAACGGCUCACCUAGGCGACGAUCCCUAGCUGGUCUGAGAGGAUGACCAGCCACACUGGAACUGAGACACGGUCCAGACUCCUACGGGAGGCAGCAGUGGGGAAUAUUGCACAAUGGGCGCAAGCCUGAUGCAGCCAUGCCGCGUGUAUGAAGAAGGCCUUCGGGUUGUAAAGUACUUUCAGCGGGGAGGAAGGGAGUAAAGUUAAUACCUUUGCUCAUUGACGUUACCCGCAGAAGAAGCACCGGCUAACUCCGUGCCAGCAGCCGCGGUAAUACGGAGGGUGCAAGCGUUAAUCGGAAUUACUGGGCGUAAAGCGCACGCAGGCGGUUUGUUAAGUCAGAUGUGAAAUCCCCGGGCUCAACCUGGGAACUGCAUCUGAUACUGGCAAGCUUGAGUCUCGUAGAGGGGGGUAGAAUUCCAGGUGUAGCGGUGAAAUGCGUAGAGAUCUGGAGGAAUACCGGUGGCGAAGGCGGCCCCCUGGACGAAGACUGACGCUCAGGUGCGAAAGCGUGGGGAGCAAACAGGAUUAGACACCCUGGUAGUCCACGCCGUAAACGAUGUCGACUUGGAGGUUGUGCCCUUGAGGCGUGGCUUCCGGAGCUAACGCGUUAAGUCGACCGCCUGGGGAGUACGGCCGCAAGGUUAAAACUCAAAUGAAUUGACGGGGGCCCGCACAAGCGGUGGAGCAUGUGGUUUAAUUCGAUGCAACGCGAAGAACCUUACCUGGUCUUGACAUCCACGGAAGUUUUCAGAGAUGAGAAUGUGCCUUCGGGAACCGUGAGACAGGUGCUGCAUGGCUGUCGUCAGCUCGUGUUGUGAAAUGUUGGGUUAAGUCCCGCAACGAGCGCAACCCUUAUCCUUUGUUGCCAGCGGUCCGGCCGGGAACUCAAAGGAGACUGCCAGUGAUAAACUGGAGGAAGGUGGGGAUGACGUCAAGUCAUCAUGGCCCUUACGACCAGGGCUACACACGUGCUACAAUGGCGCAUACAAAGAGAAGCGACCUCGCGAGAGCAAGCGGACCUCAUAAAGUGCGUCGUAGUCCGGAUUGGAGUCUGCAACUCGACUCCAUGAAGUCGGAAUCGCUAGUAAUCGUGGAUCAGAAUGCCACGGUGAAUACGUUCCCGGGCCUUGUACACACCGCCCGUCACACCAUGGGAGUGGGUUGCAAAAGAAGUAGGUAGCUUAACCUUCGGGAGGGCGCUUACCACUUUGUGAUUCAUGACUGGGGUGAAGUCGUAACAAGGUAACCGUAGGGGAAC